AUUGAACGCAGGCGGAAUGCUCUACACAUGCAAGUCGAACGGCAGCACGGACUUCGGUCUGGUGGCGAGUGGCGAACGGGUGAGUAAUGUAUCGGAACGUGCCCAGUCGUGGGGGAUAACGUGGUGAAAAUCACGCUAAUACCGCAUACGAUCUAUGGAUGAAAGCGGGGGAUCGCAAGACCUCGCGCGAUUGGAGCGGCCGAUAUCAGAUUAGGUAGUUGGUGGGGUAAAGGCCCACCAAGCCAACGAUCUGUAGCUGGUCUGAGAGGACGACCAGCCACACUGGAACUGAGACACGGUCCAGACUCCUACGGGAGGCAGCAGUGGGGAAUUUUGGACAAUGGGCGAAAGCCUGAUCCAGCCAUUCCGCGUGCAGGAUGAAGGCCCUCGGGUUGUAAACUGCUUUUGUACAGAACGAAAAGGUUUCUACUAAUACUAGGAGCUCAUGACGGUACUGUAAGAAUAAGCACCGGCUAACUCCGUGCCAGCCGCCGCAGUAA
RNAcentral lists this ribosomal RNA (500 nucleotides) under uncultured bacterium. RNAcentral describes it as "partial 16S ribosomal RNA". It matches the Rfam family "Bacterial small subunit ribosomal RNA", at positions 30 to 523 of the family's 1533-position model. The record is from RNAcentral.